This 515-nucleotide ribosomal RNA is filed under the name uncultured bacterium. Its description in RNAcentral is "partial 16S ribosomal RNA". It matches the Rfam family "Bacterial small subunit ribosomal RNA", at positions 28 to 523 of the family's 1533-position model. The record is from RNAcentral.
GAUGAACGCUGGCGGCGUGCCUAAUACAUGCAAGUCGAGCGAAUGGAUUAAGAGCUUGCUCUUAUGAAGUUAGCGGCGGACGGGUGAGUAACACGUGGGUAACCUGCCCAUAAGACUGGGAUAACUCCGGGAAACCGGGGCUAAUACCGGAUAACAUUUUGAACCGCAUGGUUCGAAAUUGAAAGGCGGCUUCGGCUGUCACUUAUGGAUGGACCCGCGUCGCAUUAGCUAGUUGGUGAGGUAACGGCUCACCAAGGCAACGAUGCGUAGCCGACCUGAGAGGGUGAUCGGCCAAACUGGGACUGAGGCACGGCCCAGACUCCUACGGGAGGCAGCAGUAGGGAAUCUUCCGCAAUGGACGAAAGUCUAACGGAGCAACGCCGCGUGAGUGAUGAAGGCUUUCGGGUCGUAAAACUCUGUUGUUAGGGAAGAACAAGUGCUAGUUGAAUAAGCUGGCACCUUGACGGUACCUAACCAAAAAGCCACGGCUAACUACGUGCCAGCAGCCGCGGUAA